RNAcentral lists this transfer RNA (65 nucleotides) under Carbula sinica. RNAcentral describes it as "tRNA-Ile". The record is from RNAcentral. RNAcentral also lists the same sequence under 1 other name. Lineage: Eukaryota; Metazoa; Arthropoda; Insecta; Hemiptera; Pentatomidae.
AAUAAGAUGCCUGAUCAAUAGGACUAUUUUGAUAGAAUAGAAUAUGUAUUUUUAUACUCUUAUUA